Molecule: long non-coding RNA, 2239 nt
Organism: Crotalus tigris (Tiger rattlesnake)
Lineage: Eukaryota; Metazoa; Chordata; Lepidosauria; Squamata; Viperidae
Exons: 3
Source: RefSeq, a predicted model, not a curated record
GGAAUUUUCUGCAAUGGGGAUUCCAAGAUGAUUCACUGAUCUAGAUUCGGCAUAUAUACAUCGGAACUCUCUGUCAAAAUCAUCAACAAUUUUUCCUUUGAAGUGCAUCACUAAACAGAGGAGGGAUACUUGAAAGUAAAUGUACUGACAGGAUGAGGUGACACUCUGCCAGGCAGUGUUGGUUCAUGAUCUGGGGAUUCUCCUGGAACGGGGCAGUUGGACAAGGAGAGCUUUCAAACAAAUAUGUCUAGUGUGCCAUUCUGAGAUCUGGAAGAGGAGAAAGGCUCCAGAUCCUAUCCGUGAAGCAGUGCUUUAGGAAGCAUGGCUGCUUUGUCAUACUCUCUCCAAGAGAUACACACAGCCCCAAAUCUGUUGGUUUUCCAAAGGCUAUGAAGAUUUCUCAUCAGGUACUGGGGCCCAGUUGUUAAUAAAACUCUGGCAUGCAGAUACGUGACAUGCCGGCAAUGAGCUUUUUAUAGGGACCUUAACUUGAUUUUUUAAAAAUUGAUUUGGACUAUGUACUAUGCUUUUACUUUUGUUGACUGCCCAGGAGCCCAUUCAUUAAAUGAAUAGCCCUGUAAAUGAUUACCAGGGUUGCUUCUCCUUGGAGGUAUUUGCCUAUUUUACCAGAUGAGAUAGGGUGGGCAUGUCCCAGAUCCCAUUCCUUAAAUGUCAUCUGGUAGGACCUUGGAGACACAUAUUCUCCAUGGCUACCCCAGUCCUUUUGAAAUGCCUCCCCCAUGAAAUUUGGAGGGCCCCCAUUCUCUUAGCCUGGGAUGCUAUGGCACUUUUGCAGGGUUUGGGUGUGUGUGUGUUUUUUUUUUUUUUUUUGUUAUGGAAUGUUGCUAUGAGCCAUCUAGGAUUAUCAUCUAUAAGAUAGUCAGCCAUAUAAUUUUAAAAAUAUAUGUAUGGAUAUUAAAUAAACAAACAUAUACAAUAAGUUGAUUUGAGUCAACCAAGAUGUAUUUUUAUGUGAAAGUUUGGGUCGCUGUGUCUUUUUAUGUAUUUACUUGGAGAUCCUGAGACACUUAACCUAGUGUGUUGCACAGGCUUGUUUUGAAGAUAGGAAGUUGCGUACAGGUAGUCCUCACAACAACCAUUUCUUCAGUGACUGCUUGAAUUUGUGAUGAUCCUGAAUGAACAGUAUUUAUAACUCCUUAAUGCCAUUGCCGCACUCCUGCAGUCACAUGAUCGGGAGUCUUGGAGUCUUGGCAGCCCACCUUUAUUUAUCACAGGGUACUUUUCAACUCUAGCCACACAUCUGUCACUCCUCACCAUCUCUGCUUUUUGACUGUCCUGCACUCCAUUGCCUCUGCCACCCCAGCAGAUUUUCACUUCUUCCUCCUACUGCUGACGAAGCAUGCCCAGCCUGACUCUUUGUGAGGCAGCAGCUGGUCACAGACGGCCUUCUUGAGGCCUCCAGGAAGGUCACAUAUGGCUUCAGGAAGCCAGCAGCUGUCUCACAAAGGGCCAGACCAGGCGCACCUCAUCAGUACUGGGAGGAACAGGAUAGCCAAGGUCAGCUGAAGGUAGCAAGAACAAUGGAGUGCACGGUGUUAUGGGUGAAGGCAGGGUGCAGGGCAGCCAAAAGAACAGAGAGGGAAGAAGAUAGGCAGAUAGGGUGGAGUUGAAGGGAAGGUGAGCAUAACAGGGCAGGAGAAGCUUGAUGUCCUGGCCUAACAAAGACAAUCAGGAGUACUGAUUAUGCAGUGCAGUCAUGUGAUAUUUUACCUAGUAAUUGUUUACUUAGCGAUAAACAUUCCAGUCCCAAUUGGGGCCAUUAAGCAAGGACUAUCUAUAUGCUGCUCUCAGUUCCUUGGAGCUAGUACAAAUAAACAUGUAAUAUAAUAAUUAGGGGGAUCAAAAUUCCCUGGAAUUUAUUUCACUUUAAGGAUAUAUAUGACUAGAAAAUUAUGAAAAUUCAGAAUCUCUGAAAAUUAUUAGACUAUGUGGCUGGGGUAGAGUUAGAAUGUGUUUUUAAAAUUGGAUUCCUAAACUGUUAAAGGAGACACAUUUUUAAAAAAUUGUUUAAAAGAACUGAACUUGUUUUGUAUACGUUUUGAUAUCAUUUUUUGUACAUUUAGAAAUAGCAUAUUCACCAUUUGCAAAUUUCAUUUCCUUCCAACUGAAAUGGAAGACACACAGUUUUGAGAAGCACUAGAACAGCCUUAGACACCUGACCCAUAAGAAGGAUACAAAGCACUAUAAUUUUAAAUAAAUGUAAUUUAAAUAAUCUAAA